Non-coding RNA from Varroa destructor (honeybee mite), 3748 nucleotides. NCBI's taxonomy places the organism in Eukaryota, Metazoa, Arthropoda, Arachnida, Mesostigmata, Varroidae. The record is from RefSeq and is a predicted model, not a curated record.
ACCGUACUUAUAAUAGAUAGCAGCAAAUUAGUGCUCCGGCAGAAAAUGUAUCAACUCUGGUUAACGCACCAUAAUGCGGAUCGAUUCUGAACGGCUGACAGAUGCACGGCGGAGGACGAAUCGGCGAACGAGGUGUUUAGCGAUGAGGGUACUCGGCAACUCUCAUGAUCUACUUAUUACGACAAUUUUAAGGUUGAGAUACCAAGAUGGCAAGGAACCUCGCGAUUCGAAAUAUCAGGAUACUCUUAUAAGUAAACUCAGUAUCAGCAGAUUACUAGGACCCCGAAGCCCGACGCGCGUCUUAUCUCGCUCGACGCUCGUUUUAACUGUCCUUUCUGGAGUGCUGUUGUUUGAUUUGUUCACGGGUGGGCCCUGUGUAAGGCUACUGAUUCCUCUUGUGGAUUAUGCACUCCCCGUGCUGAACGAGCCCGACUUUGGAAGGAGCGUGGAGGAGCUGGUCCGAAGUCGUGGCUUCGAAUUCGAGACGCACGAAGUGACGACCAAAGAUGGAUACAUUAUAGAAAUGCAUCGAGUGUAUCACAAAAAAUUCAGCAACAGCGUCCGGCCUGCGCUGAUGCUCGGAUUACCGCUCUUCUGUACUUCAGCGAUAACGGUCGUUGACUACAGGAACAACACAGCUGCAUAUCUGUUUGCAGAUGCCGGGUAUGAUGUUUGGCUGAUGAACGUACGAGGUAAUCGAUUUGGUAGAAGGCACGUUUUUCUCGAUCCUGUCAAGGACAAGCUUGCCUUCUACGAUUUUACCCACCUCGAUAUAGCAGAAUUCGACUUUCCUAUGCAAAUCGACUACGUCAUACAAUAUACUGGACAAACAAAGGUAUAUUUGACCGGUGUUUCUCAGGGGGCAGCCGCUGCAUUCGCCCUACUCUCGAAACGGCCAGAAUAUAAUUCAAAGGUCCACGCCAUUGCAUCGUACGGCGGGUUUCGGAGUCUUUGCUUCUCCAGCAAUGUUGGAGUUGUCGUGUUCUCCAAACUAGCAUGGCCCUUAUCGGAUUUGCUGCUGAAUAUCGAAUAUCUGGCAGCCCUCUUUCUCUCUUUCUCACCAGUAGGCCGUCUAUGUGCGAGAGCUGGCAACUUCUGCGGGACGCUUAUGACGUACGUGGGCUUCAAAUCGGACCAUUAUUUCAAUGUUUCGCGGUUCGCGUUAUAUUUGGAACAUGUUCCCGCUGGCACAUCACUCAAGACAUUUGUCUACUAUGCUCAGACGCGACAAACCGGGUGUGAUGGUUCAGUGCGUGAUUAUGAUUAUGAUCAGGGUGCGCUCACGUCCCUUCUUAUCUCGCUCGGCUGGAAAGAGUCGAUGAACGUAAAGAAGUAUGGAACCCCUGAACCGCCGUUGUUGGACGCCAAAAAUAUCCAAGUUCCAAUUAAAAUCUACUACAGCGAUGGAGACGACUUCGUGCCGUUUAAGGAGGUGCAGAGAAUGGCGAAAGAUAUAGGCAUUCCCUCGUCGAACCUGCAUCGAAUCGCCGACGAUCGUUUUUCACACGUCAAUUUCGUGUUCAAUAAAGACCGAAAAGACUUCAUUGUUCACGCGAUCGACUUCUUUCAAGGAGGAAACGCCUCGUGGCCGGAAGACCUAGAAAAACUUCGAGCAUAAAACCGAUCUAUACGAAAUCGGUUCUUCCUCUAGCAAGGGUAUUUGACGGAUGUGUUCUCAGUGCGGAAAGCGUCGAUCGAAACACUCCGUAAAAGUGAUUACGAUGACCCGUGCUUCCAGUAGCACGGUUUGCAAUAUUACACAUAUUGUUACAAUUAACUACGACGUUCUCGCGUUUAGCCACGAAUUACAAGCUUUACACCCUGCAAAACAUAAGGCACAAUUAACUACGUAAUAGAAGCUCCCACAAUGUGUGCCGUUUCCCAAUAUAACCUAAUGAGACUAGCCGGUGUAGAGUCACCCUGAAAUAAUCAAGAUCAAUGAAAACAACGAUGAUGCAUGGUAAAUCGGUUGACGAAAGCCAUGUGAAUGCUCAGGAAACUCCGAUAAAAGAUUCUCAUGAUCAGUUAGGUAGUUUGGUCAACUGAUCUUACCCACGGAGUGUCGAAACAAGCAAAUAAAGGGACGCGACAUAAAACAUGGCUUCAACGUCGCGUCUAAAACCGUUGCUAAUUAAAUGUCCUAAAAAGAGCUUGGUUGUCGGCAUUUAAAAUCGCUACUCAGUGUAAAUUUGUAUUUUAUGUUGCCAGUGCUGGCUCUAUAGUCGUCGUCAUCAUUUAACAACAGGAAUCAAUGCACUAUUCCUCCUGUGCAAAAUCAGUCCUAUCACUAUAAUCAUAUCAAUCCAUGUAUAGAUCAAUUUUAUAGUGAGGGUAUAGCACGGAUUCAUCUUAGGCUCAUCUUGUCGUAAGUUAGUUCAACUUUCAGUAACGUUGACCCAAACAACAUCACUAACAGUGACGUUGCAAUAAUUAACAGUAAAUAUAGGACUAUUCCCCCUGUGGAAAAUUCGAAUCAAUACAUCAUUACUAUAGGCGAUAAAAUAAAUGCUGAAUAUGGUUUCUUUUCCUACAUAACGUAACGGUACAUCGAUGUCAAAGUAUUAGAAUUAAAUUCUAUCUAACUUCGGGUACUUCAGACACCGUGCAGAUAAACAACGCUAUCAUUUAUAUAUUUAGUCUGCUCCGAAGUAAAGUAAGUCUGCACUCAAACGUUAUUCAAAACGAAACAAAGAAGUCAGGGAGUCAAUGUACUAGAUAAAUCUAGUAGUUUUAUAGCUUUAUAAUAUGGAAUCUUUGUGUCACUCAAAUACAAUUUGCAAACGACAUAUAUCUUUUAGCUGCGAGGGCAGAUCAUUACCUGAAAGCUCAUUUGACUGGAGUAUUAGCCGAAAGCAGCCACUGGCUCAGGAUAACUUUAUGCUAUUCGUAGGAAAAAACUGAGAUAUUAGGUCAUACGAAGGCCAAGACAUGGAAAGGACAGGAGAAAAUGUCGACUACUUAGAACUCACAAUUAGGUAAAAACAGUCAAAUCGCAAAUACUUUAUAUAACUGAAGGCCUAAUUAAAAGCGUAUCCAAAACAGGUCAGCUCUAUCCAGCGUAUUCUUCUGUUCGCUAGAUUCACCACAUCCUUAACCCAAACCACACACGUCCUUAACCCAAUUGCAACUUUUUUACACGUCGUUUCCUGUCUGGAAUAUCUAGAAACUACUGGAAAAUGUACUUUAUUUCUAUGAUAUCGGCCACAAAUCAAACAGCCAGAAACUGUUUGGAAAACUACCAGGUUCUCACUUCAACCUUCAAGGAAACUUCGGCCUAAGCGUCAAUAGAGUUAAUUUCAAGGACCGAAUUAUGAAUAUAAAAAAGAUCAUCAAAAAAUCCUCAGCAUACUGGGAAUGCAAUCAAUUCAAAUAAAAAAGAGAACCAAACAUUACUACAAUAUGUACCAGAGGCUCGGCAAACGGUAACUUUUAGUUAAUAGUAUUGAUAGAAGAAUAUACUGCGUAUUAUAAUUUAAUCGUGUAUCCAUCUAAAUUCAGAAGCCCAAUGUAUAUAUAGUGUAUAUGUAGGAAAAUAACUGUGAGGUCUACGACUCACCUUAUUCAGAGAUGGGUGUUCGCCUUCCCAAAUAGCAAAUAAUUAAUAUGCCCACAUAACACACGUGUUUUGAUAAAUAACUGUCUAUCAUGUGUCCAUAAGCCUAUAAUUGUGCAAUAACACAGUUGAUUACCAUAAAAAUACAUAUAUAAUUAAUAAACUUAACUCAAGCCAAGUGGUGAGGUCCAUUCA